UGAGGACGGCACAGAGAAAGACUGGAACAGAAAACACACGGAGGAAAGCAGGUUGAACAUGGAAGCAGUGUUCUAGCAGUCGGGUCACAUUGGAAAAGAAUCCAUCCACACGUGUUUGGAGGAGCUGAAGAAGAGGAUGGAGCACACAGACC
Cyprinodon tularosa is the source of this 152-nucleotide long non-coding RNA. RefSeq lists it as uncharacterized. Lineage: Eukaryota; Metazoa; Chordata; Actinopteri; Cyprinodontiformes; Cyprinodontidae. The transcript has 3 exons. The record is from RefSeq and is a predicted model, not a curated record.